AAAAUGCCUUUAAACCCGACGCUGAAAGCAUUCCGAGUACACCGCGUGAGCAUCCGCGACCAACUUCUCUUGAACAAACAGUAGUAAAAAAAAAAAGAUGUUUACAGUUUUGCUCUGACGGCGUGGCCCUAGUCCAGCCGGGUGGGGCGGAGGUUAGUGAACCUUAAGAGUGGCCAGCUUCAGGGGGUUUGGAGCGAGCGAGCGAGUCUCAUCUGGGAAGCAGUCCUUGAAACAAAACACCGCCCUCGCAGCUCCUCCUGUGUACUUCCAGCGCAAGUACAACAACACAAACCUGGCAGGCUUUGCAGCAGUGAGUCAGCCGCGCAUUUAUCUGGAGUCAUAAACUUUUGGGACCUGGACCUGUCACUUUGGAUCCCGUUAGAUCCCGAUUGAUUUAGGGUUGGCCGCGUCCAUACGAGCUUUCCAGUAAGGACUGGAGCUAUAUGAGAGACAAACAGCUGCAUUGUGCUUUCUUCUUGGAAUCCACAGAGAAAGACAAUGAAAACCAAACGUGGGGGGGGGUUCAAAGCAUCGUCGUGACAUCAUCCGCUCUUGUGAGAGUUCAAAUCCGUGAGCAUCCAAAAGUCCAGCUGGAUUCCAUCAGCUCCAAAAAAAAAUAAAAAUCUUCACCCUACAAACAUUCACUACGAAGGAUAAAUAGCUGCAGUGGAUGAGCGCCGGCCAGAGUUUUAUUGCAACUUCAGCUUGUGAACUUUGACAGUCUGGACCAUGGCCAGAAGGUUCUAGAAAAGUGCACGGCAGGCUGGCGUGUUUCAACCUACUCUAGGCAUGUAUGCGAUAUGCCAUCCUGUGGGAAAAUGCUUCAUGCAUAUCCAAGUAUUUCUAUCA
Molecule: long non-coding RNA, 849 nt
Organism: Syngnathus acus (greater pipefish)
Lineage: Eukaryota; Metazoa; Chordata; Actinopteri; Syngnathiformes; Syngnathidae
Exons: 2
Source: RefSeq, a predicted model, not a curated record